AUUGAACGCUGGCGGCAGGCUUAACACAUGCAAGUCGAGCGGGGGAAGGUAGCUUGCUACCGGACCUAGCGGCGGACGGGUGAGUAAUGCUUAGGAAUCUGCCUAUUAGUGGGGGACAACAUCUCGAAAGGGAUGCUAAUACCGCAUACGUCCUACGGGAGAAAGCAGGGGAUCUUUGGACCUUGCGCUAAUAGAUGAGCCUAAGUCGGAUUAGCUAGUUGGUGGGGUAAAGGCCUACCAAGGCGACGAUCUGUAGCGGGUCUGAGAGGAUGAUCCGCCACACUGGGACUGAGACACGGCCCAGACUCCUACGGGAGGCAGCAGUGGGGAAUAUUGGACAAUGGGGGGAACCCUGAUCCAGCCAUGCCGCGUGUGUGAAGAAGGCCUUAUGGUUGUAAAGCACUUUAAGCGAGGAGGAGGCUACUUUAGUUAAUACCUAGAGAUAGUGGACGUUACUCGCAGAAUAAGCACCGGCUAGCUCUGUGCCAGCCGCCGCAGUAA
Molecule: ribosomal RNA, 501 nt
Filed under: uncultured bacterium
Lineage: Bacteria
Description: partial 16S ribosomal RNA
Rfam family: Bacterial small subunit ribosomal RNA
Source: RNAcentral